Molecule: long non-coding RNA, 321 nt
Filed under: Carica papaya (papaya)
Lineage: Eukaryota; Viridiplantae; Streptophyta; Magnoliopsida; Brassicales; Caricaceae
Description: long non-coding RNA (CPAP_LNC000648)
Source: RNAcentral
AUUAAAUAGGGAGUGAAUCUGGACCGUUCAUCGCGAUCUAAUCUAAGCCGUCUAUGCACGAUUCACUUUGGGUCAUCUGUGCACGCGGGAAUGCACGUCAGUCAUUCGAUCGCGUGCACGCGGAUCGCCCACGUGGCUCCCCUUCGUGUUGCCUCCUGCGUCAUUGCCUUUGCCACUUGACGCGUCCUGGUUGGUCUGGGCUGCUGAUCGUGCGUCUGACAUGAUAAAAUUUUUCUAAAUUGCGUUUUGACCUCCAGUUUCUGAUUUUUCUUUCAAAAAUGUCCCCGAACCCAAUCUUUCACCCCUUUUUCUCAGAAUUAU